GUCUUGUUAGUGUUAGGACAGAGGUUGGACUAGAUGAUCUUGGAGGUCUCUUCCAACCUAGACGAUUCAGUGAUUCUGUGUUUCUGGGUGCCUAAUGGAAGGCAACCUACCCCCGCAUCACUACAUCUUCCAUCAAGAAAGGAAGGAGGGUUAUUGUCAUAAGGGACUCCCUUCUGAAAGGGACAGAGUGCCUGAUUUGCCAUCUGGACCCAACACACAGGGAAGUCUGCUGCCUCCCUUGGGCUCGGGUAAGAGACAUUGCCAGGAAAGUCACUCGCCUGGUAGGGCCCUCUGACUACGACCCAUUACUUGUUUUUCAAGCUGGUAGUGAUGAGGUAGCAAGGACAAGUCCAAGGGCAAUCAAAAAGGACUUUAGGGCUUUGGGUUGACUGGUUAAAGGAUCAGGGGCACAGGUUGUGUUUCGUUCUGUCCUUCCAGUAGCAGGGAUCAAACUCAACAGGCAGACUCAGCUCAUCAAUAUGUGGCUCUGAGACUGCUGCCACAGGCAGAACUUUGGGUUUGUUGAUCAUGGGAAUCUCUACGUGACACCAGGCCUGCUGGCAGCAGCUGGGAUGCACCUCUCUUAGAAGGGGAAAAGCAUUUUUGCCCAGGAGUUAGCAGGGCUGAUAGAUAGGGCUUUAAACUAGAGUUGAAGGGGGAAAGGGAUAAAAUCAGGCACGCCAGUGAUAAGCUAUGGUAUGGCAUGCCAAAAUCAGAGGGACUGCGUGCUAGUGAGGUCCUUCAGUUUGCUCCACGAGGUGUUGCAUACAAUGAGUUGCAUUUGAAGUGCUUCUACAUCAAUGCAUGCAGCAUGAGGGAUAAAUUGGAUGAGCUAGAAGUCUUGGCCCAGUCCCACAGCUACGACAUCAUCGGCAUAAGCGAAACCUGGUGGGAUGAGUCCUGUGACUGGUGUGUUGCAAUACAUGGUUACAGGCUCCUCAGGAGGGACAGACAGGUCAGGCAAGGUUGGGGGAUGGUGCUGUAUGUAAAAGAGGGGCUGGACUGUGUGGAGCUUGCAGUUGGUGAUGGCAAAGUUGAGAGCCUCUGGGUAAGGAUUAAGGGGCAAACAAAUAAAGGGGAUGUUGUUGUGGGAGUCUAUUACAGUCUACCCGGCCAGAAUGACAACACCAAUGAAUUAUUCUUUGCAGAACUAAGAGAUACCUCAAGAUCAACUGCCCUUGUCCUUAUGCAGGACUUUAACUCACCAGACAUUAAUUGGGAAUAUCAUGCAGCCGACACAAGUAGGUCCAGGAGGUGCUUGAUGUGUAGUAUCAAGCACUGGCACAGGCUGAGCAACAGCCCUGCCUGAAGUCCUCACAAGGGACUGGUAAGGAAGCCUCCGACCCUGACUUGGCACAACUGAUGGACUCAAAAGACAAGGGAAGCUGGACCCUCAUCUCUGCUCAGAGCAGAAGGAGUAAUCUCCCCCUUGCCCCCGAAGUGCCCCUGCACAAUAUAUAUGAUGCUCUGGGGCUCAAAAAAGGCGAGGAUAAUAAUAACAACAAUGGUAAUGGUCAAGCCCCAGGAAACGGCAACAGUAUAAAGUUGGACUAACAAGCCACGCGUAUAAGAACCAGUGCCACAAAAAAAGCACAAAGGGUAUUGGUAAUUGGAGAUUCCUUUCUGAGAGGCACUGAAGCACCCAUUUGCUGCCCACUCUCUCUCGAGAGGUUUACUGCCUCCAUGGGGCCCACAUUUGCGACAUCAGAAAGAGGCUACCAAGCUUGGUUAAACCAUACGACUACCACCCAUUCCUACUCGCCGAGGCAAUCGGCUCUGGGGCAGACACAUUCUGCAGUGGAGCAGGGGAUCGAGGCGGACAGGGCUCUUUUUCAGCAUCGAGGCUACUCGAAGCAGCCGAGGGAGACACCAGGACCCGGCAGCCCUAGCGAUUGAGGCUGAUGAGGCGUAGGUGGAGCCAGCAGUGCCCCCUCCCCUGACGUUCAAAAGCAGACCCUGGGGAAUGCGAGCAACCAAGAGCGCGGCAACCAGGACGGGCAAACAGGGCAUGGCGCAUCGGUAGGGCGAGGCGCGGUAGUGGGGCAAGGUGCAGCAGUUUGCGUGGCAGUGCAUGCAGGCAGGGCGCACUCAGGCAGGGCAGAGCGUCCCUCCCCACUCAUAAGAACAACUCAUCUACCUAUAGCUUAACCACCAUAGUCUCCACUGGGCAGAAAGCUCUUUUUAGAAAGUCUGUGGCAACCCAGACUGACCGCCCGCUCAACAAUGCGGCAGUUCAGGUCUCUGGGUACAGGGAGUGCCUGAGCCUGUUGCUGCCAUCAGAGGGUGCCAGAGACACUGUGUGUGUUAGG
Anser cygnoides (Swan goose) is the source of this 2309-nucleotide long non-coding RNA. Lineage: Eukaryota; Metazoa; Chordata; Aves; Anseriformes; Anatidae. The record is from Ensembl.